RNAcentral lists this unclassified non-coding RNA (283 nucleotides) under Hevea brasiliensis (rubber tree). Lineage: Eukaryota; Viridiplantae; Streptophyta; Magnoliopsida; Malpighiales; Euphorbiaceae. The record is from RNAcentral.
GAAAAUGAUAGGAGGAAGCAAAUACAGGAAGAACAAAUCCUCACUGAACACCAAUAACCGCGAAUUCUUCCCUCUGUCAAUAAGCAAAACGACGGCACCAGCACACAAGCCCAAAAGAAGGGCAGCGAUAGACUCAUUAGCCCAGCGAUUCUCUUCAAGGAGGUGACCUAUUACGAUAAAAGCACAGAGGAGAGCAUAGAAGACGCAGAGAGCUAUUACAGUGCUGGUUUAAAGAACAGAUGGUGAAUCUUGAAUUGGCAUUGUUUCAUGAGAGGCCAUUUUG